GCUGGGUGUGGUGGCUCACGCCUGUAAUCCCAGCACUUGGGAAGCUGAGGCAGGAGGAUCACUUGAGCCCAGGAAUUCGAGACCGGCCUGGGUAACAUAGUGAGGCCCAGUCUCUA
RNAcentral lists this non-coding RNA (116 nucleotides) under Pongo abelii (Sumatran orangutan). Lineage: Eukaryota; Metazoa; Chordata; Mammalia; Primates; Hominidae. The record is from Rfam by way of RNAcentral.